Molecule: ribosomal RNA, 497 nt
Filed under: uncultured bacterium
Lineage: Bacteria
Description: partial 16S ribosomal RNA
Rfam family: Bacterial small subunit ribosomal RNA
Source: RNAcentral
GAUGAACGCUGGCGGCGUGCCUAAUACAUGCAAGUCGAGCGAACGGACGAGAAGCUUGCUUCUCUGAUGUUAGCGGCGGACGGGUGAGUAACACGUGGAUAACCUACCUAUAAGACUGGGAUAACUUCGGGAAACCGGAGCUAAUACCGGAUGAUAUUUUGAACCGCAUGGUUCAAAAGUGAAAGACGGUCUUGCUGUCACUUAUAGAUGGAUCCGCGCUGCAUUAGCUAGUUGGUAAGGUAACGGCUUACCAAGGCAACGAUGCAUAGCCGACCUGGGAGGGUGAUCGGCCACACUGGAACUGAGACACGGUCCAGACUCCUACGGGAGGCAGCAGUAGGGAAUCUUCCGCAAUGGGCGAAAGCCUGACGGAGCAACGCCGCGUGAGUGAUGAAGGUCUUCGGAUCGUAAAACUCUGUUAUUAGGGGAGAACAUAUGUGUAAGUAACUGUGCACAUCUUGACGGUACCUAAUCAGAAAGCCACGGCUAACUACGUG